UGCCUAGUUAAAUACAGUUGGAACGCAGAAGCUGAAAUGUGGUAUUUAAAGAUAAGAAACCUAAUGAAUGCUGAAAUUGAGGAAUUGGCUGAUCUUAUGCAUUCCUUGUCUUUUGUACACCUGACACAAUCGUCAGUUUAUGGGUGUGGAGGCUUGAUAGCUGAGGAUUCUUCUCUACUAAGUGCUUACUGAAUGACAUCGACUCAAAAAUGAAUUGGACCUUCUAUACAAAUCUAUACAAAGAUUGAAAGAGAUCAGAAGGUUUUUUUACAGCCGAGGAACAAACUAUUGAGCAGUUUUUUUUAUUCCACAACUUUUUUGGCCAUCACUUAACGUAAAUUAUCUCCUCUGAUCUUUCAUUAUUGUUAUAGCUUAAGAAGUUUUAUCUAACUCCCACUGGUUGGAACUUCUUUUCCCCCUCGUUUUUUUUUGUUAAAUUUCAUACCGUGAACGAAAUUGUUUCAUAUAUUUAAAAAAUAUAUAUAUAAAAAAUUCUAUAACCGGAGAAGAAAUGGCCUCUUUAUGCAGUUUUUAAUUUCUCUGAACGAAAGAUGCUAUCUUUGACGGUAAUAAUAGAAGUACUUAUGACUUGUAGGAUAAUGUGCAUCACACGGAACCGUAUCCUAUCCUUCAAUUUAAUGAUGGGUUUGUCCACUUAUCAACGAGGUGGAAGUGCAGCCACGGCAAUAGGGGUCAAAACUGGUUAUUCAGGUAGGACCCGUAAGAGGCGGGGUUUCGUCCACUUGCUUGCCUGGCGUUCUAUCUCCACAACAAUUGAGUUGGUGAUCAUCAUUUUGUCCCACUGAAAUCUUUCUUCGAUGGUGGCUGUCAUCUCAGCAAGCAGGUAAUGGGAAUCCCCUUUAUGGGCAAGUAAACUCAUCCUUUUUACUUUUCGAGAUGCAAAUAGCGUAUGAC
Molecule: long non-coding RNA, 915 nt
Organism: Cucurbita maxima (winter squash)
Lineage: Eukaryota; Viridiplantae; Streptophyta; Magnoliopsida; Cucurbitales; Cucurbitaceae
Exons: 3
Source: RefSeq, a predicted model, not a curated record